Molecule: ribosomal RNA, 905 nt
Filed under: uncultured bacterium
Lineage: Bacteria
Description: bacterial SSU rRNA
Rfam family: Bacterial small subunit ribosomal RNA
Source: RNAcentral
GAUUUAUUGGGCGUAAAGGGAGCGCAGGCGGUCAGGAAANUCUGGAGUAAAAGGCUAUGGCUCAACCAUAGUGUGNUCUGGAAACUGUCAGACUUGAGUGCAGAAGGGGAGAGUGGAAUUCCAUGUGUAGCGGUGAAAUGCGUAGAUAUAUGGAGGAACACCAGUGGCGAAAGCGGCUCUCUGGUCUGUCACUGACGCUGAGGCUCGAAAGCGUGGGUAGCGAACAGGAUUAGAUACCCUGGUAGUCCACGCCGUAAACGAUGAGUGCUAGGUGUUAGGCCCUUUCCGGGGCUUAGUGCCGGAGCUAACGCAAUAAGCACUCCGCCUGGGGAGUACGACCGCAAGGUUGAAACUCAAAGGAAUUGACGGGGGCCCGCACAAGCGGUGGAGCAUGUGGUUUAAUUCGAAGCAACGCGAAGAACCUUACCAGGUCUUGACAUCCCGAUGCUAUUCUUAGAGAUAGGAAGUUACUUCGGUACAUCGGAGACAGGUGGUGCAUGGUUGUCGUCAGCUCGUGUCGUGAGAUGUUGGGUUAAGUCCCGCAACGAGCGCAACCCUUAUUGUUAGUUGCCAUCAUUAAGUUGGGCACUCUAGCGAGACUGCCGGUAAUAAACCGGAGGAAGGUGGGGAUGACGUCAAAUCAUCAUGCCCCUUAUGACCUGGGCUACACACGUGCUACAAUGGUCGGUACAACGAGUUGCGAGCCGGUGACGGCAAGCUAAUCUCUGAAAGCCGAUCUCAGUUCGGAUUGGAGGCUGCAACUCGCCUCCAUGAAGUCGGAAUCGCUAGUAAUCGCGGAUCAGCACGCCGCGGUGAAUACGUUCCCGGGCCUUGUACACACCGCCCGUCACACCACGAGAGUUUGUAACACCCGAAGUCGGUGAGGUAACCUUUUAGGGGCCAGC